This 248-nucleotide unclassified non-coding RNA is filed under the name plant metagenome. RNAcentral describes it as "partial contains small subunit ribosomal RNA, internal transcribed spacer 1, and 5.8S ribosomal RNA". The record is from RNAcentral.
UUUCCGUAGGUGAACCCGCGGGAGGAUCAUUAAUGUAACCGGACCGUUCCUUUGCCGUAAAACGCACUGGAUUGGAAAGGGAGAUAUCAUACACCCUAUGUUUAUUUACUUUUGUUGCUUUGGUGGGCCGUCCUUUACGGCGUCGGCCUCGGCUGAUCGCGCCCGCCAGAGGACCCAAACUCUUUUAUUAGUGAUGUCUGAGUACUAUAUAAUAGUUAAAACUUUCAACAACGGAUCUCUUGGUUCUG